GCCUAGAUGGGAAAGUGGUUAAUGAUUCUGGCUGCCGUACAGAAGAGUCCGGGUUCGAAUCCCGGUGAAGGUA
Molecule: transfer RNA, 73 nt
Filed under: Stegodyphus mimosarum
Lineage: Eukaryota; Metazoa; Arthropoda; Arachnida; Araneae; Eresidae
Rfam family: tRNA
About the family: Transfer RNA (tRNA) molecules are approximately 80 nucleotides in length. Their secondary structure includes four short double-helical elements and three loops (D, anti-codon, and T loops).
Source: Rfam by way of RNAcentral